ACGGAAAGAAACGGAAAGCAAAACAACCGAGAGUAACGGAAAGAAACGGAAAGCAAAACAACCGAGAGCAACGGAAAGCAAAACAACCGAGAGUAACGGAAAGAAACGGAAAGCAAAACAACCGAGAGCAACGGAUAACGGAAAGAAACGGAAAGCAAAACAACCGAGAGCAACGGAAAGAAACGGAAAGCAAAACAACCGAGAGCAACGGAAAGCAAUGGAGAUAAAAUGUCUUUUUACGUGGAGUGAUGAGCAGACGUUCAACUUCAUUAAGUUCAGAGCGGAGAAUGAGAGGCUGUUCACAGGGCACAGAAACGCCUCCUCUCAGGGAUAUGAUGAAAUUAUCAAAAUCAUGGGGCUGGAGGGGAAAGUCACUCCGCAGCAGUGUAAGAAGAAGUGGGAAAAUUAAAAAAAAAAAAUACAAGGACUUAACACUGCCAAAAACAGGGUCAGGGACAGAUGCAGGAGAGGUCACUGCUGCCUCGUGGACUUGCUAUGCAGCAAUGCAUGAAGCCAUUGGCCAGAGACCCUCAGUCAGGCCAGUCAGUCUGUUUUCAUCUGGACCAUCUAGUGUAGAGAGACCCCAGACAUCUGUCAGUGAAGUUGAGGUGGAAGCAAGCUCACCAGGCUCCUUCACAGAGACAGACACAGCAAUCCUGCAAGCAGUAAACUUCCCAGACCCACAGACACAUGGCAGUGAUCAACCAGGUACCUCAACAGAAGUUAGACCAGGAAAGAGAAAGAGGAAGAGUGAGGAGAGUAUUGUAGAGUACCUUAAAGAGUACUGCACGCGCCUUGAGAAAACACAGAAGGAAGAAAAUGAAAGGGAUAAUGCUUGGCUCCAAAAUUCUCAGCAGCAAAUGGACAGGAUGUUAGAUUUGUUUGGGAAACUGGUGGGCCAUUUGACAGAAAGGUAGAAAUUAACUUUCUUAAAUUAAAGUUCUGUUCUGUUGUUUGCUUUUUAUGAAUAAUAUUUACUUUUAACACUACUGAGUGAUGGAUUUAUAUGUCAUAUGAAAUAAUAUGUUACUUACUUUUGCUGUA
Epinephelus moara (kelp grouper) is the source of this 1044-nucleotide long non-coding RNA. RefSeq lists it as uncharacterized. The record is from RefSeq and is a predicted model, not a curated record. NCBI's taxonomy places the organism in Eukaryota, Metazoa, Chordata, Actinopteri, Perciformes, Serranidae. The transcript is spliced from 4 exons.